This is a long non-coding RNA of Xiphophorus couchianus (Monterrey platyfish), 1277 nucleotides long. RefSeq lists it as uncharacterized. The transcript is spliced from 3 exons. The record is from RefSeq and is a predicted model, not a curated record. Lineage: Eukaryota; Metazoa; Chordata; Actinopteri; Cyprinodontiformes; Poeciliidae.
UUUUUGCGGUUGGCAAAAGCCCAACGGUUUUUGCCAACCGCCAAUAAAUUUCAACAAGUAGAAGAACUUUAAAGGUUCGGUGCAGACAUUGCGUCUCUGUCAGCGUGCGUCAUAAAAAAAAACCAGAGAUGAAAGCAAAUAGGAUCAGCCUGUGGAGAGCCAGAGGAGAGAUGUUUGUGCUUUUGGCAUUCAUAAAGAAGAAAGCAACAAAUGCAAAAGUGUAUAUAUCCUGUCUGAUUGAGGCAAUCAGUAACAACACGCGGAAUCAUCUCGAGAAGCUCUGCAGGUGUCGACAAACAAACUUUUCCUCCCUGGAGGGCUUGUCGUGUGCGUCUUUAAGCGAGCCAUGCAGGACUGGAAAUGCUGCAGUCGGGUAAAGCUCUGCCAAGAAGGAAGCCUUCCGAGGCCGGAUCCGUCUCCGGUUGACGCCGUCAUUACUUUAUUACUUGGACGACUUGUCUUCCGCUAUUGACCCGCUGUUUAAUGGCAUUUUUUAUCAUCACUUAAGCUGCACUUUAUUGCUCUUAUUGUCAAGGCUUCCAAUUAGUUGUCAGACAUUUUAUCGUUCAAGCUAAAACAUUAGCUGUCGGUCUGGAGAAUUCCCCUCCUCCCUUAAAUUCAGGAUUCAAUUUUGGGAGCCGUUAGCUUCUUCACUAGCCUUCAAAAAACGAACUGUGAUAGCUGCAAUGGUGAAACGUUUACUUGUCAAUAUAUACUAAGUCUUUCACAAAUCGUAGUAAUGUACAGUUAGUGACAGGUUGCUACAGUAAUAAAAUGCUGGGAAAUAGAUGGGGUUUGUUUUGAUAGCAUUGCUAGUAGCGGUUAGCCUAAUAGGGUACAGGUUAACAGGUGAUUCUAACCCUACAUGUCAACAACUUUGAGAAUUUAAAUGUAGGUAAAUAGAGUUUAUUAUAAACUCUUACUCCAAAUCACAUAAAAAUAAUCAAUAGUGAUAAAAAAAGAAUAAGAAGACAUAAAAAUGGAUAUAGAAGGUAUUUGUAGCGAAUACCACGUGAGCUUGCUAUAGUUGUACCAUCAUUUUUAUUCAAAUAUUCUGAACAGUACCCUUAUGUUUGACUUGAUAUAUGUAUGUAAUUUAAGGUUUUCUUUAGGAUUACUCAAAAUAAUGCUCAAGUUUAAACUGGAAAAGCUAAUUUGGUCAAUUUAACCCCCCUUUUUUUUAAAGUCAUAUUCUUAUUUCGUAUGUCCUGGCUGCAUUCUUACUGUUUCCAUUGAAAGGAAAUAUCCUGAAAUAAACACAGUGGUUUUUGUUUUAC